Herpailurus yagouaroundi (jaguarundi) is the source of this 6215-nucleotide RNA transcript. RefSeq lists it as uncharacterized. The record is from RefSeq and is a predicted model, not a curated record. Lineage: Eukaryota; Metazoa; Chordata; Mammalia; Carnivora; Felidae. The transcript has 10 exons.
CCUUCCAGCCUCCCUCCCUCCCCGGUCGGGAGGCGUUGCUAACUAAGCAGCCAGCCAAAAGCAGAGGGGACCACCUUGCAGUAAUUUGUCCUGAGAGCAUCACCUGUAUAUACUGCAAUGCCAAGCCAGAUUCCAGCACCAUUGGGCCCAGUGGGUCUAAAGCUAAAAGUUUCGUGGGGUUUUUAACACUUUUCCUUGGGACCACUCAGAAGCCUCCCAUUUCAAAUGGAUUGCAAUGUUUUUCUAGCCAAGUACCGAGGAAUACGAGAUUUUCGGAUAUACUGUUCUGUAAUAAAACUGUUAGCAGAAUUUAAGAUCCUGUUUUACCUGCAACACAUGCCGUAGAAGACCCCCCACCCACACUGUUUGCUUUAACACUAUCAGUAUCAUUAGUGUUACUGAUAAAUUCUCCCUCAAAGUUUCAAAAACUACAUUCUUGUGCAAUUUUAAUAAAAACACAAAGUAAUUAUGCCAGUCUUUUAUAUGUGCUCUAGAACUUUUCGUCCUUUCUAAUGUGUUAGGGCUGUUCUUCACAAUUUAGCAGUCUUGCUUAAGAAGUCCCUCAGUGCCAACUUUUCUGUGAAUUACUCUGAUAAGUACAAUGAGAAGCUAUUGCAAUGAAAACAUUAUCCAAUAAAGAGAACUGCGCAGGAAAGAGUUAAGUUUCAUUCAUUCAAAAGUGCCCUUUCAUAAGUCUAAGAGGCUUUGGCUUGUGGGAGUAGGAUCUCUAAGGCUUUGUUGGAGGGUUUGGGGUGCGUGGCUUACUUUUCAGGACUUGUCAGGUGUUGUGCAAAUAAAUAGGAAAAUCUGGGCCCUACUUGGUACUCAAGACAGUCCAUCCAUUAUUACUUAGAAAACGUUUUUUUCCUGCGUUAAAGCUUCAUUAUCGUUUCCCUCUUAAUGAAGUGACUGGGGAUGGGGGUGAGUAGGCGCAGUACAGGGUGGGAGGAGGUCGUGGGGAGAGAAUGGAGAGGAGUGUUCCUGGCUUCUGUUGUGGAGUCUUUUCUAUUUGACUUCAUGGUUGUAAGUAUUUCCAGAUGGUGAAUCAGACACCAGACGUAACAAUAUUUCCAUAUUUGGGUAUAGCAGUAGCCUGCGUUUUUAACAUUUUUCUGCCUCUGUUAUCCAACCACAAAGCAUUCUUGACAGCUUCAAAUGUUGUUAAAUAUAGACUUAACUUCUGUUCCCAGAGCAGGAAAUUCUUUGGAAUUCCUUGUUUUUCACGCAAUCUGUCUAUCAUGAUUUAAAAUAAAAUUACAAUGGAUGAUCCAACUGGCCAGUGUAUAUACCUUGCUUGCUCCUUUAUUGAGGGGGACGGGAGAUAUGCAAAGAGAUUCAGUCUGCCGCACAGCUUUGAAACACAGGCCAUUCCAGAGAUUCCUUUAAAAAUCAGAUUAAAGUUUUCUAACAAGGGUGUGUGGGUUUGUGUCUGGGCUUCAGUUGGGGAAUCUUGGAGGAUGAGUUUGCCCUGGAGGAGAAACUUAGAGAACCUUACCAUCAGCCGCCCAUUUAAAGCUGCGAUAAACGACGGCAUCGGACCAGAGGAACAGCAGCUCCUCAUGUCUGGCUUCAGGACGGUCCAGAAACCCCAGACGUCCCGUCGCCUUCUCGCCUUCUUCGCUCAGGGCUGCAGAUCAGUUCACGUUGACAUAUUAGAGGAAAAUGUGCAAAUGUUUAUGGGUGCUCUCGCCCGCACACCCAGGCUCACAACUUACACCUGUUACAGCCACUUGAAUGAACAGGACAAUUUGUGGUGACGACGAAAGGCCGGCUUUAAGGUGGCGCCGCCGGGCCAUCCCUUCCACCCCGCCGCGAUCCCCCACCCCCACCCUGGGGAGUGAUGGCAGGGAGCGCCACAGUAAUGACAGAAGCAAACAGUACCACUCUAAGUCAGGCACCGUUCUGAAUGACUCCUGUAUGUUGACUCAUUUAACUCACCAGUGCCCCAUUGAAGCAGAUCUUCUUGUUAACACCAUUUUCUCUCUAAAGAAAUGGAGGCACAGAAGGAGUGGGACUGGUUGCCAGGAGAAUCAACCUUGUGAUUGGAGGCUUGGAACUUUCAAUCCCACCCAACCUCUGGGGAGGGGGAAGCCUGGAGGUUGAAGCAGUCGCCAGCUGUCAGUGAUUUAAUCAAUCAUGGCUAUUUAAUGAAGCCUCCAUAAAAUCCAAAGAGGAGAGGGUUCAGAGAGCUUCUGGCUUGGUGAACACUUGGGUGUCUGGAAGAGUGCACACCAGGAGAGGACGUGGAAGUUCCUCGCCCUGUACUCAUACCUUGCCCUACCCAUCUCUUCCGUCUGGCUGUUCUGGAAUUAUAUCCUUUUAUAGUAAACCUGUAAUCUAGUAAGUAAAAUGUAUCUUGAGUUCUGUGAGCCACUCUAGCAUAUUAAUGGAACCCGAGGAGGAGGUUGUGGGAACCUCUGAUUUAGAGCCCAUUGGUCGGAAGUGCAGAUAACAAUCUGGACUUGUGUUUCGCAUCUGAAGUCCAAGGUGGGGGCCAAGGGAACUUCCAAUCUAUAACUGGUUGGUCAGAAGCACAGGUAACCUGGGCUUGCAACUGACUUCUGAAGUGGUGGGGGAUGGAGGGAGGGCAGUGUUGUAGGACUGAGCUCUUACUCUGCGGAAUCUGAUGCUGUCUCUGGGUAGAUAGUGUAUGAAUUGAGUCAAAUUGUAGGACACCCAGCUGGCCAAGAAUUGCUUGACAGCAUUGGGGGAAACCCCUCCACCCACACACAUGGUGAAAUUGGUGAUCUAGAACAUUUUAUGGGAGAAGCAGCAAGUGCGGAAGCAAAGCUGAUAUGUUUGAUUUGAGAUCCCUUGAGCCCAGCUCCAGAUGGAGAUGUCCAGGGAGCAUUUAGAAAUUUGUAAUUUCAUUUUGGAAAACAGAGACUAAAGAUGUCCUUUUAGAAUCAUAUUCAUUCAGGUGAUGGUUGAAUCCAUGGAGGCAGAUAAGAUUUGUAAGGAAGGGAAUAUACAAGGAAAAGAGAAGAAAAUUAAAGAAUGGAGACUUUAAACAGGAACUAGAGAAAGAAGAAUUUGAGCAUUUGGAGAAGAACUGGAACAGGACCAUGAACCCGAAUCCAAAGAGAAACAGUGCUAAGCAUGAGCACACAUUCACAGACAAAUUGUUGUGGGCUGAGGCUCCUGGAACAUGUUGCUACAAUGAGAGUAAGGUGGGCAGUACUGUUUUCCUGUAGCACGUAUAAGAUACACAUUUCCAUCUUCUUUGUUUCCAUAUUUGUUAAUCACUUUCCUGGGUCGUUUACCAGAAGGCCUCCUGACUUUGGAAUCUGUGGCAGAAUUUUCAGCUGCCAGCUCUAAAACAAAGAAACCCACCUAGACAAAUCCUGUAAGAUGUCAUCAUCUAAAAAUACCCCUUAGUGGGUUAUUGAGAGCAGGAAAUGAAGCACAGAUAGCAAGUUCACACUGACUUGUUGAAGUCACUAUGGAGCGUUUACAAGGAUCCCACAGAUGACUAAAAUUAGUUUAUUCUGCACAGCAUUAUCCACUGCUGACUCAAGAUGGUGAUACAAGCAGUGUUAAGCUGUGAGCUCACCAGGAAGCUCAUUCCCUAAAAUUAUUCUCUGGCUGGGAAAGACCCCUAGGUCACAUCAGUGGUUGGAAGAUGGGACAUUAAUAGCAACUUGUUCUGCCGUCACUCAGAAACUGUGUUUUCCUGUUGUCUCCCAUUCUCUGUUUCUUGCAGAUGUAGAAGCCUCCUGAUCAGCCUGUUGUCUCUCCGUGCUCAAGGUUUCACCUAUACAAAACAGGAGCUCUGGUAGCCUCUACUGAGACUUUUCGGUAGAAAAUGCUUUGAAAAAGAAAAGAAAAGAAAAGAGAGAAGCAGCUAUUUUCAAGACUGACUUUCUAAAAUUAUAUUUAGGAUUAAGCGGCUGUAACAUUGCCAUUCGUCGCCGAGGCUCCUGGUUUCAGCACGUCUCCUUGGUUCCCAGCCAGUCCUGGGUGUUCAGAAGCUCUUCUACCAGCAAAGAAAGAGGAUUUCUUCCCAUUUGGCUCCAGCCUGGAAACAAUCCCAAGAAUGACUUGUAUUGGAUCAAUGGAGGUUGCAUACUCCCUCCCAAACUGCACACCAAGCCAGGAAGAUGGGGUAAUAUGAUCGGUCCAAUCAAGAGUCCAAACACCUUAUCAUUAAGUGAGGACACAGUGAGAAGGUGGCCAUCUGCAAGCCAGGGAGACAGCUCUCACCAGAACCCAACCAUACUGCCACUCUGACCUCAGAUUUCCAGUCUCCAGAACUGUGAGAAAAUAAACUUCUGUCGUUUAAGCCGCAUAAUCUAUGGGGUUUUCUUAUGGUUGCCCAAGUUUAUUAAUACAAUCUCCAAGAUUUAUUUGUAGGUAGGGAAAAAAGGGUGCCAAAAGAGUGUACUGUUGGGAUGAAAAAAAAGAAAAGAGUCUAUACUUGUACUGGUUUGUAUAUCCAUUCUAAACGUCCUAGGAAUAAAUGAGAAACUAAUAAUGUUGUUUACUUUUUUGUGGGGCUAUAAGAACUUGACAGAGGACGGGGUGGAAAGGAACCUUUGCUGUAUAUCCUUCUCUGUCUUUUGAUGUUUGAGCUAUGUGUAUGUGCCACCACUUCAGAAAACUAAAUAAAUAAAAUUCAUUUAAAAAUAAUAAUAAAACCACUUGGAAAAACAAUAUUAUAUUGAAAUAAGGAAAAUAUGGAUUAUAUUGAAAGAAAAUUAUUGAUUAGCAGAAUAAUUAUGGCAGAGAUUGACGUUUGAAGAUGAAGGAAUAUGAGCAGUUAUAUUAAAUUGCUUUCUUGGGCCAUUAUUUAACAAUUGCUGUGAUCAUGUAGACAGUUCUGUCUACUGCCCUUUCCUGGGAUCUGCGUUGCUGACAACAACAGAGCUUGAAGUACCCCAUGUAACAUGCGUUUGAUUGAAAGAUGUUGGCCAUGGGUUCCCGAGUACUCUCUUGGUCGUCUGUCUGGGAGUAAAGCCUUCCUCAGCUUCCCUCAAUUGGUGGUCCAGUAUUCAAGGACAACUCCUGAGAGAAGGACCAAGCCAUUCAUUUGAAAGAGGCCAGUGUCUCUUCUGUGGACAAAGAUGUAACAUCUCUCACAACUUACCUUGGCCAAUUAAACAUCCAGUUGUUCUAGAGACAUUACAUCAUGCUCCUCCCAAGUGUUGUCCUUAAAUAUAAUAAUGUAAUUCUGGUCAUUUCUUUGCUUUUAACUUCCAUCAAAGAUUUCUUCUCCAUUGGUCAUCUGGCCUAUCUCUUUAUCCCCAUUGACUGUUUUUUAAGUAAACUCUAUGCCCAACAUGAAGCUUGAACUCAUGACCAUGAGAUUGAGUCACAUGCUUUACUUCCUGAGCCAGCCAGGCACCUCCCCCCUACAUUGACUCAUUUUGAGCUGUUCUGCCAUGACCCCAAAGUACCUUUAUUUCUGUCCCCACACCUUCAUAAAUGUCGUUUCCAUUGCCUGGACUACCCUUCUAUUUGUUUCUGUUGAUGAAGUUCCCUAAAUGGAGUUGACUGUUUUUCUUGACAUCACCCUAAAUUUUUGAACAGCAAUAAUAUUCUCUAUGUGCUUUUUACUUCUUGUCAGAUUCAAGAAGUUUGGGGGCCAUAGCAUAUUCAUUUUGCAUCCCCAAUGCUGGCAUCCAGUAGGCAUGUGAUGGUUGAAUGAAUGAAUAAAUAUACACUCUGGCCGAAAUGUUAAAGACAAAAAUGUCAUAGUAGCCUAUAAUAAAAUCCUAACCAAUGCUUAGGGAAAAUGCCUCACAGGAGGAUUCUAACUCUCUGCACUGUGAUUGUGUUAUUCAGGUCCUGAUUGACUUAUAAGAGCUGAAUUCUGUCAGGACCAUUUUUCCAUUAGCCUUUUGCAGGGGGUUGGGGGACUUUCAAUUGUGUGGAUAUUUUGUGCAUGUUUUGAAAACUCAGCUGGGCAUCCCCCUACUAAGGCAUCUCUUUGAGGAUUUCCUCUGUUUAAGAGCAUUUUAUUUCUAACAUUUUAAAGUAUAGAUGGCAGCUCUCAUUCCAGUGGAUUUUCAUCCUUAUCUCCAGAAAACCAUAUUUUGUAUGCUUUGUGGCAAAGUAAGUUAUGCAUCUAUAGAAGUCACCCCGUGGAAGUGAGCCUUUGGGUAGAAGGCUCAGCUCCACAUUUGCUUGCCAGAGAGUAAGAGUGACAGCAAGGUGAUUUCUGUCACUUUGCAGUAGGUAUCUUUCUCAUAUAACUUUCUCAAAGAUGCUCUUUU